RNAcentral lists this long non-coding RNA (2586 nucleotides) under Mytilus galloprovincialis (Mediterranean mussel). The record is from RNAcentral. Lineage: Eukaryota; Metazoa; Mollusca; Bivalvia; Mytilida; Mytilidae.
AUGAAUUAGAUCACUUUUCCACGAAAUCACGUGAUAAAACUAUUUUCCUCCAACAUAUAAACAAUUUCUGUUCUAUAUAGAACAUCAUAAUUUUCAGAAAGCAUUGAAAGCAGACACAACAUUCCUGUUGGUAAUUAUAUUUUAAUACAUUUUUUUUUAAUUCAAGUGGUAAAUAUGUUUCUUGCAUUUAUGUAAAAUAAUGAAAGUAAUUUGAAAUGACUGUUAAAGUAUAAUCCUGCUUUAGUAAGGUUCGACACUCGAUACCUAUUCAUCAUUGAUCUUUUUUGAAGGUGGAAAAAGGGUUGGAGGGCUGGAAGCGUUUCUGUUGAAGGCAAUCUAAAACCAUGCUUGGGAAUUAAAACAUUUUCAAAAAAUGCAUCAUACUCAUUCAAUAUUUUUCUGAUGAAUAUUUUCUUAUUUAAAUGUUGUUUAAAUUAAUUCUUGGUAUAAACUCACCAAAUUGUGGCUUGAUAAGCUAGGUAAUAUAAAGGCAUUUCGUGUGUUUUCAUUUUCUUAUGUUUAUAUCACAGACAUAAAAAUGAUAUGGCAUGAUUUGCAAUGAGACAACUAUAUCGAUCUAAGUUCAAACAAAUUGAAUGUAAACAAUAUUAAGCAUUCAACUGUUUCAAGUAAUAAUUACAUCCCAGCUCUUUUGUUCUAACUGGGGUGAUCUGAGCCGGAUCACCCCUACCAGAUCACCCCAGUUUAAGUUUUUUGUUAUGCAUGCUUUCCUUUGUUCUGUAACAUUUUGGCGGGAAUGACAAAUCCAGUAUAAAAAAAAAAGAAAAACAAAAAAAAAAAAAAAAAAAAAAAAAAAAAAAAAAAAAAAAAAAAAAAAAAAAAAAAAAAAAAAAAAAAAAAAAAAAAAAAAAAAAAAAAAAAAAAAAAAAAAAAAAAAAAAAAAAAAAAAAAAAAAAAAAAAAAAAAAAAAAAAUUUAUAAUUAAUUAUACGGAGAAGACUAUCUAUCAAAAUCCACGUAGAAAAAAUCCAGUGUAUAUGCUGGGGUUCGAACUCAAGACCUUUAGCAUAUCAAGCCACGACACAUACCACUACACCAGGACGACUGGAUACGAACUAUUAGAAAUUUAACAUACUUAAAGGAAGCAAGAUAUUUUUUAUAACUGGGGCGAGUUGGCAGACCUUUACUCAGUGGGGUUUAAACCCUUUUCGUUAAAUAAAUGAGUUGUAAGACUGAUUGUUCAAUUUGAUUUUACACUUUUUUAAAGUUGGGCGAGUCGGUUACAAGAGUGGGGCGAUUUUUUCAUAAAGUGGCGAUAUAGUGUGGGCCGAUUGGCCAGUGGGGCGAGUUGACAUUAUUUGAUAUCUACUCAUCGUGUUUGGGGGUCAUAAAGGGUAUACAUCAUAUAGUAAUAUCUAAAGUAUAUUAUAAUGGUUGUGUGGCGUUCUAAACUAGAUUUUAUGAAUUGUAAAUGGUUUUUCGUCUAUUCUUAAUCAGCUGGGAUGUAAAAUAGUUAUCCCAUUCGGACUUGGUGUGUCAGUGUAAGAUCACCCUCUGGCCUCCGGCCAUCGGGAUGAUCUUACACUGACACACCGCGUCCUUAUGGGAUAACUAUUAAAGGUAGUCUAAGAUAAACCUACAAAGAUUCUUAAUCAACUUUUCCCCUUAAUUGUUCGUCAAUAUUUGUUUUCAGUAAAAAAAUAAUCCCAAUAUGAAACGGCAAUCUUAUGGGUGGCCAGAUGACGAUGAUGAUGAUGACGAUGCUGAUUGUUGUAUACAAUGACACUUCCGGGUAAGUUAAUUUACACAUCUUCAAGAUAGUUAUUACUAAAUUCUAAACACUUUACAGGGACAGAUACAGCCAUUUAAAAAAAGGGGGGGGGGGAUUCAAACAUUAGUCCCGAUACAAAUGUAUUGAUCGACAUUGGAUCCGCCACUGCCUUAUAUCUACUUUCUUUAUGACAUAAAAAAUUGAGCGUUUUUUUUUGUUUAUCUCAAAAAGGUUCGAAAACCUGGUUGCAAGUUAAAGAACUUUGUAUGAUAAUUGUAGUGAAAACUUGAUACGUGCGUGAAGAACACAGAGUCAUCCUGAUAUUAACAUAUAAUAAUACUUAGUGGUUUGAUAAUUUAACUCUAUACCAUUUUCGAUUUUUAAAUUCCAUGGCUUUCAUAUAAUUGGUUUUAAGUGUUCCAGAUGAAAGCAAAUAAAAAAUAACCUUCGGAGUUCGUAGCUUUUGAUUUUGAUUGCCAAUGAGACGAAAGACAUGAUCGAAUUGACGAUGAAUAAAAGUAUCGAUUAAUAUCAUUGAAUAUUAACAAGUACAAUUUAGGUGUACAUUGAGAAGACAAAUGCACAAAAUGUGUUAUUUUAAGUAUGUUUUCAGCUUUUCAAUGAAUUUGUUACAGUGGCUUUUUACUAUAUAUUUUUUUUAGAUUUGAUAUGUUUCAACAGCAUAAGAAGAUGUCCAGCUGAAGUAUAUUUUUGAAACAUUUCAGAACAUAUACUUACAUUAUGUGAAACAUCUUAUGAUAACAAAAUUGUUCAAAAUGCAGUUUUAAUUAUUCUUUUACUGGAGCAUGUGCCUUGCAAGAAUCGUACGGUUCUUUCUCCAAAAUCCUAACCAGG